GUGAAUCAUCAAAUUUUUGAACGCAAAUUGCACUCUCCUCGGAGAGGAUGCCUGUUUGAGGGUCAGCCUAUAAAAACUCGACAUCGUUGCUGUUUCGCGGUGGCGUUCGUCGGAAAUUGGGUCACCUUAAAUCGUUUGGAUUUAUGCGACUUAAAAUAUUCUUUUUGGUUCCAUGAACGUUUCUAAGAUUUAUUUCUUUACACGUUUAAGGUAUCGAUUUUUAUUAGACGUGAACCUCAUAUCGGAUCGGGACUAUAA
Molecule: unclassified non-coding RNA, 258 nt
Filed under: Glomus sp.
Lineage: Eukaryota; Fungi; Glomeromycota; Glomeromycetes; Glomerales; Glomeraceae
Description: partial contains 5.8S ribosomal RNA and internal transcribed spacer 2
Rfam family: 5.8S ribosomal RNA (bases 1-65)
Source: RNAcentral